Molecule: long non-coding RNA, 1293 nt
Organism: Homo sapiens (human)
Lineage: Eukaryota; Metazoa; Chordata; Mammalia; Primates; Hominidae
Exons: 2
Source: RefSeq, a predicted model, not a curated record
CCCUGGGGUUGGUGUGUGCUAGCCAGGAGAUCAGUAUGGUGGGUCUUGUGGGGUGUGAGAACUGGCAAGGGGAACCCCAUCUCAGAUGACAGCACACAGAAACUGGCUUGGAGACCUCCUUCAGGCACAUACCUGCUGCACAAAGAUCACCAGACAGUAGGAGUGGAGACAGGAAAAGACAUUUGCAUCUCAGGGUUGGAGACAGAAGAGGGGGUUGUUUGUUGAUAUUUCCUGCUCUAGCUCUCCUGUUCUUGAACCAAAUUGGAAGAACUCAAGGACUAUGAUGUUGGAUUCACCCAGGGAUCCAUGGAAUCAAAGGUGUUAAUGGGGUUGUCAUGAUGGGCAUCCAUGGACAAGUCAAGUUUCUUGAAUGAAUAGUUCAUUAUGUUCACUGUGCCCAUGCUGCUGGGGAUAGAGGAAGGCACUUUGACAAAGAGAAAACAAUAUACCGAAGGAGCAGAAAUGAGCAAGGAGGGUGAAUGCUGAAGGCAGCCUGGGUACCUAAGAGGGAAAUUUUCCCUAAAGGGAAAUGGCUCAGAUAGCGCUGAAACAUGAUGAGGAGUGCCUUGAGUUCUGGGCUGGAGGUUUGACAACAGUUGGUGAUCAAUCCAUAACCAUACUUUUGACCUGGGCAGCUGAUUCAUAGUUGACAAGGUUAAGAAGGAAGAACUGAUCUUUUGCAUUUUCCUCUGGCCAAUUUUAAGAUCUGAAUAAAUCUUUCGGUCUGCUUUUCGUUUGUUUUUGAGAUAGGGUUUUCGCUCUGUUGCCCAGGUGCCCAGGCUGGAGUGCAGUGGUGUGAUCACGGCUCACUGCAGCUUUGACCUCCCAGUCUCAAGCGAUCUUCCUGCCUCAGCCUCCCAAGUAGCUGGGACCACAGGCGUGUGCCACCACAAAUGCAUAAUUUUUUUUUUAAUUUAUAGAGAUGAGGUCUUGCUAUGUUGCCCAGGCUGGUCUUGAACUCCUGGCCUCAAGUGAUCCUCCCACCUUGGCCUCCCAAAGUUCUGGGAUUACAGGUGUGAGCCACCAUACUCAGCCUGUUUGUUUUUAAUCCCGAAUUAGGAAGGAAUGGUGCAGAAAUAUGGAGGAAAAAAAGCUGAACUAGCUGGGCACAGUGGUGUGUGCUUGUAGUCUUAGCUACUCAGGAGGCUGAGGCAGGAGGAUCACUUGGGCCCAGGAGCUCAAGGCUGUAGUGCAGUAUGAUUGUGCCUGUGAAUAGCCACUGUAUUCCAACAUAAACAAUGUAGUGAGACCUCAUCUCAAAAAAUAAAAAUAAAAAAGCUGAACUACUAUCAA